RNAcentral lists this long non-coding RNA (1403 nucleotides) under Homo sapiens (human). RNAcentral's name for it is "long non-coding RNA NONHSAT220227.1". The stretch from base 1224 to 1285 matches the Rfam family "U7 small nuclear RNA". Lineage: Eukaryota; Metazoa; Chordata; Mammalia; Primates; Hominidae. The record is from RNAcentral.
UCAUGCAGCUCCAGAGAAGCCUUGGGACACCAAGAGAAGCUAAAAGCUGAGCACCGUCACAGAGCAAAGGUCAGAGCCUGGCAGAAUUGGUGUGGGUGUUUUGGUGUCUGUCUGUAACCUGCCUGGAGAGCCAGGUUUUGGCAGAUGGCCACCAUGGAGGAUCUGGGCCGUAUUAUGCCUGUGGCCCUUGAUAGGCAGUCCAGCAAAACUUACAUAUGACUUUGCUGCCUGAAAUUCUUUCUGGAACAGGGCAAGGUAUAAAUAAAUAAAUAACAUGGUGAAAUCCCAUCUCUACAAAAAAAAAAAAAUACAAAACUUAGCCCAGUGUGGUGGCGGGCGUCUGUGAUCCCAGCUACUCAGGAGGCUGAGGCAGAGAAUUGCUUCAACUCGGGAGACGGAGGUUGCAGUGAGCCAAGAUUGUGCCACUGCACUCCAGCCUGGGCAGUAGAGUAGGUUUUUUGGCCUUGGGAAGGUCCUUCACCCGCUCUGAACCUCAGUAUCCCCACCUGUAAAACAAAAGAACUGGACAUGUCACUGUAGUUUUCAAACUAUGCUUGAUAGCAGUUCCUUAGCGAAGAGCUUCCCAGCUGGUGUGCCUUGGCAUGAUGACCUCAUUAGCCCUCCCAGACAAGGCCUGUGGUGGGUGAGCCCCCAGGAGCGGUUCCAUUCACAUUUCCUCUCCUUACCUUUGCCUUAAAAAUGGCAUAAUUCAUCCGGGUGUGGUGGCUCAUGCCUGUAAUCCCAGAACUUCGGGAGGCCGAAGCUAGUGGAUCACAAGGUCAGGAGUUCGAGACCAGCCUGGCCAACAUGGUGAAACCCCCCCAUCUCUACUAAAAAUACAAAAAUUAGCCGGGCAUGGUGGAGCACAUCUGUAAUCCCAGCUACUCCGGAGGCUGAGGCAGGAGAAUUCGCUUGAACCCGGGAGGCAGAGGUUGCGGUGCGCCGAGAUCGCGCCACUGCACUCCAGCCUAGGCGACAGAGGAAGACUCUAUCUGAAAAAGAAAAGAGAAAAAAAAAAGGCAUCAUUUUCUAGGUACCGUGACAGGGAAUAGGUUGGGAAGCAAUGACUUCAGGACAGGGGGAUGUUGAGUGAAUGGGGCUCAGCCCUGUAGCCAGUCAACAUACAGAGGCUUAAAGCAAAUUUCCAAAAGGCAUCCCUUUUCCUUCAAGAUACUACCACCCUCUAUUGGACAACUGCCCUGUUAAUAACUGUACAAAUCUAUGAGUGUUACAGCUCUUUUAGAAUUUGUCUAGCAGGUUUUCCAAUCUUCACUGAAAAGCUUUAAAAAAUAAAGUAAAAUUAUGAUGGAGGUCAUGGUACCUCCCAGAGUUGUGCAGCUCAUGUUUUGCACAACCAUUUAGGGGUUCUAAUGGAGCUCUGGGAUCCUCUCUGCCACAGCCUU